AUACGUAGGUGACAAGCGUUAUCCGGAUUUACUGGGUGUAAAGGGCGUGUAGGCGGUUUAGCAAGUCAGAAGUGAAAUUCCCGGGCUUAACUUGGGCGCUGCUUCUGAAACUGCUUUACUUGAGUGCUGGAGAGGAUAGUGGAAUUCCUAGUGUAGCGGUAAAAUGCGCAGAUAUUAGGAGGAACACCGGUGGCGAAGGCGGCUAUCUGGACAGUAACUGACGCUGAGGCGCGAAAGCGUGGGGAGCAAACAGGAUUAGAUCCCCUGGUAGUCCACGCCGUAAACGAUGAAUACUAGGUGUAGGGGGUAUCGACUCCCUCUGUGCCGCAGUUAACACAAUAAGUAUUCCGCCUGGGGAGUACGGCCGCAAGGUUGAAACUCAAAUGAAUUGACGGGG
This 397-nucleotide ribosomal RNA is filed under the name uncultured bacterium. RNAcentral describes it as "partial 16S ribosomal RNA". It matches the Rfam family "Bacterial small subunit ribosomal RNA", at positions 523 to 918 of the family's 1533-position model. The record is from RNAcentral.